UGGGGGGCUGGUGAGCUGGGAGGGGGCGCUGAGUACACCGGCGGCGAGUAGUGGCGGGAAGCGGCUAAUUGGACACGAGGGUGGCGAGGAAGUGGUCGGGGCAGGAGUAUGCGGCGGCAAGUUUGUGGGCUGUGACAGGAAGGAGGCGAGUUGUGUGGCGGAUUGAGAAAAAUCGCCGCACAGGAUCGAGGGGAGUUAAUGUUCUCCUUGGAUUACAGGGUAAG
Molecule: long non-coding RNA, 224 nt
Filed under: Brachypodium distachyon (stiff brome)
Lineage: Eukaryota; Viridiplantae; Streptophyta; Magnoliopsida; Poales; Poaceae
Description: long non-coding RNA (BDIS_LNC003665)
Source: RNAcentral